This 1129-nucleotide long non-coding RNA is filed under the name Felis catus (domestic cat). RNAcentral describes it as "lncRNA (ENSFCAG00000041182.2)". Lineage: Eukaryota; Metazoa; Chordata; Mammalia; Carnivora; Felidae. The record is from RNAcentral.
UUUUAUUGACAACUUUCUAUCUAGACACAGAACAUUUUACCACUUUUUAAUAAGAAUUUCCAGAAAAAGCUUUAGUGUCCAAAGAUUCCCACAAGACACUCAACAUUUGGAGUCCCUGUUGCCCCCUGUGCUUCUCAGUCAUCCAUUGUUUCCCUUAUUGUCUGGAUCUUGUAUUCUUUCAUAACUCAUGCUUAAUACUGAAGGGCACAAAAUGAAAUUAUGCGUGUCUCAUUAUUUAAACAGGGCAAGAAUUCAAACGGCUGGUGGUCUGUACUUACCACAACUUCUGAAACAUAUAGGUGAUACCAUGAACUGCUGUUUUUCAUUUCUCUCCUAAACUAUUUUGGAAUAUUUAGCCCAUUCAAUCAGAAGAGUCAGGCAGCUUCAGACCAGGUUACAAGUGGAAAGACAUUUGUCAAGGCUGCUUUCACUGGCAAUAUACUUUAAUGAGAUGGCAUUGAGAGAAGAUGGUUAAAAGAACAAAGUCAGGUUUGUUGUGAGGCCAUCAGUAACCCAAGAAGCCGCACUGCUCGGGGGCAGAGGCUGUGGAAAGGGUAAUUGCAGGGAGUGCCAAUCACACAUACGCGCUACACAGAAACAACUGGCCAUUGAUGGCCCACACCAAUGGAGGGGCACAGAGGCAGGGAGAUGGAAAACAGCAGAAUUUCUUUCUGUUUGCCUUUCAGUCGCAUUAUAUAUCUUCCAUUGCUAGGAGAAAAACAAGAAAGAAAAUGGUGGCAGGAGCAAGGAAAAUGUAUCAAGAGAUUACACAGCCAGAACUGUGGAAUGAAAAGGAAAAGAGGUUGAAUUAUUGUUAUACUGCCGAGCUGAUGGCUAACCAGAUCCAGAAUGAACUUGUUGCUUCCCGGUACAGAGCUGAGGAGCAAACCAGAGCCUGAUGGUCAAAGGUACUCAUGGAUGGGGGGACCUGGGUGGUUUAGUCGGUUAAGUGUCCAAAUCUUGGUUUCGUGUCAGGUCAUGAUAUCAUUGUCAUGGGUUCAAGCUCCGUGUAGGGCUCUGCACUGUCAGUGGGAUUGUCUUUCUCCCUGUCUCUCUGCCCCUCCCUAUCUCAUGCUGUCUCUGUCUCUUUCAAAAUAAAUAAUAAAUAAACCUUAAAAAAUUGUUUUUU